RNAcentral lists this ribosomal RNA (464 nucleotides) under uncultured bacterium. RNAcentral's name for it is "partial 16S ribosomal RNA". It matches the Rfam family "Bacterial small subunit ribosomal RNA", at positions 28 to 507 of the family's 1533-position model. The record is from RNAcentral.
GACGAACGCUGGCGGCGUGCUUAACACAUGCAAGUCGAACGGCAAGGCACUUUCGGCGGUACACGAGUGGCGAACGGGUGCGUAACACGUGGGUGAACUGCCCUGCACAUUGGGUUAAGCCUGGGAAACUGGGUCUAAUACCGGAAAGAACUACGCGGUGCUAGUCGUGUGGUGGGAAGCUGUUGCGGUGUGGGAUGGGCGAGCGGGCUAUUAGCUUGUUGGCGGGGUGGUGGCGUACCAGGGCGCCGAGGGGUCGCCGGCCCUGGAGCGUGGGCAGCCACACUGGGACUGAGAUACGGCCCAGUCUCCUACGGUAGGCAGCGGUGGGGAAUAUUGCACAGUGAGCGCAAGCCUGAUGCAGCGGCGCCGCGUGGGGGAUGACGGCCUUCGGGUUGUAAACCGCUUUCAGCACAGACGAAGCGUAAGUGACGGUAUGUGCAGAAGAAGCACCGGCCAACUACGUG